UAAUACCUAGGGGGCCAGCGUUGCUCGGAAUUACUGGGCGUAAAGGGUUCGUAGGCGGUGCGGCAAGUUGGAAGUGAAAUCUCUGGGCUUAACCCAGAGGCUGCUUUCAAAACCUGCCGUGCUCAGUGCGAGAGAGGCCAGUGGAAUUGCAGGUGUAGCGGUGAAAUGCGUAGAUAUCUGCAGGAACACCCGUGGCGAAGGCGGCUGGCUGGAUCGCAACUGACGCUGAGGAACGAAAGCUAGGGGAGCAAACAGGAUUAGAUACCCUGGUAGUCCUAGCCCUAAACCAUCAGGACUUGGGGUGGCUCGCGUAGGCGGGUCGUCCCGUAGCUAACGCGUUAAGUCCUGCGCCUGGGGAGUACGGUCGCAAGACUGAAACUCAAAGGAAUUGACGGGGGCCCGCACAAGCGGUGGAACAUGUGGUUCAAUUCGACGCAACACGAAGAACCUUACCUGGGCUUGAACCGCUACUGACCAACGGUAGAAAUAUCGUCUUCCCGCAAGGGACAGUAGUAGAGGUGCUGCAUGGCUGUCGUCAGCUCGUGCCGUGAGGUGUUGGGUUAAGUCCCGCAACGAGCGCAACCCUUAUUCGUAGUUGCCACCCGCAAGGGGGAACUCUACGAGGACUGGCUCCGGAUAACGGAGAGGAAGGUGGGGAUGACGUCAAGUCAGCACGGCCUUUAUGUCCAGGGCUACACACGUGUUACAAUGCACGGUACAGACUGUUGCGAACCCGCGAGGGGGAGCUAAUCGGACAAAACCGUGCUCAGUUCGGAUUGCAGUCUGCAACUCGACUGCAUGAAGCUGGAAUCGCUAGUAAUGGCGUAUCAGAUCGACGCCGUGAAUACGUUCCCGGGCCUUGUACACACCGCCCGUCACAUCACGAAAGUGAGCUGUACUAGAAGUCGCCCAACCAACCGUAAGGGGGCAGGCGCCCAAGGUAUGGCCCAUGAUUGGGGUG
This 961-nucleotide ribosomal RNA is filed under the name uncultured bacterium. RNAcentral's name for it is "bacterial SSU rRNA". It matches the Rfam family "Bacterial small subunit ribosomal RNA", at positions 521 to 1482 of the family's 1533-position model. The record is from RNAcentral.